This 267-nucleotide ribosomal RNA is filed under the name uncultured bacterium. Its description in RNAcentral is "partial 16S ribosomal RNA". It matches the Rfam family "Bacterial small subunit ribosomal RNA", at positions 86 to 354 of the family's 1533-position model. The record is from RNAcentral.
UGUCGGCGACCAGCGCACGGGUGCGUAACGCGUAUGCAACCUACCCAUUACAGGGGGAUAACACUGAGAAAUCGGUACUAAUACCCCAUAACAUCCAGGGAGGCAUCUUCUUGGGUUGAAAACUCCGGUGGUAAUGGAUGGGCAUGCGUUGUAUUAGUUAGUUGGUGGGGUAACGGCUCACCAAGACAACGAUACAUAGGGGGACUGAGAGGUUAACCCCCCACAUUGGUACUGAGACACGGACCAAACUCCUACGGGAGGCAGCAG